UCCCCGAUAGCUCAACGGUAGAGCGCGCGGCUGUUAACCGCUAGGUUCUAGGUUCGAAUCCUAGUCGGGGAGCCA
Molecule: transfer RNA, 75 nt
Filed under: Chloroflexota bacterium
Lineage: Bacteria; Bacillati; Chloroflexota
Also listed under: 1 other name
Description: tRNA-Asn
Rfam family: tRNA
About the family: Transfer RNA (tRNA) molecules are approximately 80 nucleotides in length. Their secondary structure includes four short double-helical elements and three loops (D, anti-codon, and T loops).
Source: RNAcentral